Molecule: ribosomal RNA, 417 nt
Filed under: Staphylococcus aureus
Lineage: Bacteria; Bacillati; Bacillota; Bacilli; Caryophanales; Staphylococcaceae
Description: bacterial SSU rRNA
Rfam family: Bacterial small subunit ribosomal RNA
Source: RNAcentral
CGAGAAGCUUGCUUCUCUGAUGUUAGUGGCGGACGGGUGAGUAACACGUGGAUAACCUACCUAUAAGACUGGGAUAACUUCGGGAAACCGGAGCUAAUACCGGAUAAUAUUUUGAACCGCAUGGUUCAAAAGUAAAAGACGGUCUUGCUGUCACUUAUAGAUGGAUCCGCGCUGCAUUAGCUAGUUGGUAAGGUAACGGCUUACCAAGGCAACGAUGCAUAGCCGACCUGAUAGGGUGAUCGGCCACACUGGAACUGAGACACGGUCCAGACUCCUACGGGAGGCAGCAGUAGGGAAUCUUCCGCAAUGGGCGAAAGCCUGACGGAGCAACGCCGCGUGAGUGAUGAAGGUCUUCGGAUCGUAAAACUCUGUUAUUAGGGAAGAACAUAUGUGUAAGUAACUGUGCACAUCUUGACG